Molecule: ribosomal RNA, 305 nt
Filed under: uncultured bacterium
Lineage: Bacteria
Description: partial 16S ribosomal RNA
Rfam family: Bacterial small subunit ribosomal RNA
Source: RNAcentral
ACAGCAGCAGCCGCGGUAAUACAGAGGGUGCAAGCGUUAAUCGGAAUUACUGGGCGUAAAGCGCGCGUAGGUGGUUUGUUAAGUUGGAUGUGAAAGCCCCGGGCUCAACCUGGGAACUGCAUCCAAAACUGGCAAGCUAGAGUACGGUAGAGGGUGGUGGAAUUUCCUGUGUAGCGGUGAAAUGCGUAGAUAUAGGAAGGAACACCAGUGGCGAAGGCGACCACCUGGACUGAUACUGACACUGAGGUGCGAAAGCGUGGGGAGCAAACAGGAUUAGAUACCCCCGUAGUCCCUGUCUCUUAUAC